RNAcentral lists this ribosomal RNA (497 nucleotides) under uncultured bacterium. Its description in RNAcentral is "partial 16S ribosomal RNA". It matches the Rfam family "Bacterial small subunit ribosomal RNA", at positions 28 to 507 of the family's 1533-position model. The record is from RNAcentral.
GAUGAACGCUGGCGGCGUGCCUAAUACAUGCAAGUCGAGCGAACAGACGAGGAGCUUGCUCCUCUGACGUUAGCGGCGGACGGGUGAGUAACACGUGUAUAACCUACCUAUAAGACUGGGAUAACUUCGGGAAACCGGAGCUAAUACCGGAUAAUAUAUUGAACCGCAUGGUUCAAUAGUGAAAGACGGUUUUGCUGUCACUUAUAGAUGGAUCCGCGCCGCAUUAGCUAGUUGGUAAGGUAACGGCUUACCAAGGCAACGAUGCGUAGCCGACCUGAGAGGGUGGUCGGCCACACGGGAACUGAGACACGGUCCAGACGCCUAAGGGAGGCAGCAGUAGGGUAUCGUCCGCAAUGGGCGAAAGCCUGACGGAGCAAGGGCGCGUGAGUGAUGAAGGUCUUCGGAUCGUAAAACUCUGUUAUUGGGGAAGAACAAAUGUGUAAGUAACUAUGCACGGCUUGACGGUACCUAAUCAGAAAGCCACGGCUAACUACGUG